Molecule: ribosomal RNA, 253 nt
Filed under: uncultured bacterium
Lineage: Bacteria
Description: partial 16S ribosomal RNA
Rfam family: Bacterial small subunit ribosomal RNA
Source: RNAcentral
UACGUAGGGGGCAAGCGUUGUCCGGAUUUACUGGGCGUAAAGAGCGUGUAGGCGGCCAAACAGGUCCGUUGUGAAAACUGGAGGCUCAACCUCCAGACGUCGACGGAAACCGUGUGGCUAGAGUCCGGAAGAGGAGAGUGGAAUUCCUGGUGUAGCGGUGAAAUGCGCAGAUAUCGUCAAGAACACCGAUAGCGAAGGCAGCUUACUGGGCUGUAACUGACGCUGAUGCACGAAAGUGUGGGGAUCAAACAGG